RNAcentral lists this ribosomal RNA (468 nucleotides) under uncultured bacterium. RNAcentral's name for it is "partial 16S ribosomal RNA". It matches the Rfam family "Bacterial small subunit ribosomal RNA", at positions 28 to 507 of the family's 1533-position model. The record is from RNAcentral.
GACGAACGCUGGCGGCGUGCUUAACACAUGCAAGUCGAACGGAAAGGCCCUGCUUUUUUGGGGUUCCCGAGUGGCGAACGGGUGAGUAACACGUGAGUAACCUGCCCUUGACUUUGGGAUAACUUCAGGAAACUGGGGCUAAUACCGGAUAGGAGCUCCUGCUGCAUGGUGGGGGUUGGAAAGUUUCGGCGGUUGGGGAUGGACUCGCGGCUUAUCAGCUUGUUGGUGGGGUAGUGGCUUACCAAGGCUUUGACGGGUAGCCGGCCUGAGAGGGUGACCGGCCACAUUGGGACUGAGAUACGGCCCAGACUCCUACGGGAGGCAGCAGUGGGGAAUAUUGCACAAUGGGCGGAAGCCUGAUGCAGCAACGCCGCGUGCGGGAUGACGGCCUUCGGGUUGUAAACCGCUUUCGCCUGUGACGAAGCGUGAGUGACGGUAAUGGGUAAAGAAGCACCGGCUAACUACGUG